Molecule: ribosomal RNA, 223 nt
Filed under: uncultured bacterium
Lineage: Bacteria
Description: partial 16S ribosomal RNA
Rfam family: Bacterial small subunit ribosomal RNA
Source: RNAcentral
CUCACCAUGGCGACGAUUGGUAGCCGGACUGAGAGGUUGAACGGCCACAUUGGGACUGAGACACGGCCCAGACUCCUACGGGAGGCAGCAGUGGGGAAUAUUGCACAAUGGAGGAAACUCUGAUGCAGCGACGCCGCGUGAGCGAUGAAGUAUUUCGGUAUGUAAAGCUCUAUCAGCAGGGAAGAAACUGACGGUACCUGGCUAAGAAGCACCGGCUAAAUAC